UACGUAGGGGGCAAGCGUUGUCCGGAAUUAUUGGGCGUAAAGAGCGCGUAGGCGGUCCGGUAAGUCGGCUGUGAAAGUCAAGGGCUCAACCUUUGAAUGUCAGCGGAUACUGCCGGGCUAGAGUCCGGAAGAGGCGAGUGGAACUCCUGGUGUAGCGGUGGAAUGCGCAGAUAUCAGGAAGAACACCAACGGCGAAGGCAGCUCGCUGGGACGGAACUGACGCUAAGGCGCGAAAGCGUGGGGAGCGAACAGG
RNAcentral lists this ribosomal RNA (253 nucleotides) under uncultured bacterium. Its description in RNAcentral is "partial 16S ribosomal RNA". It matches the Rfam family "Bacterial small subunit ribosomal RNA", at positions 524 to 776 of the family's 1533-position model. The record is from RNAcentral.